UUGGAGGGCAAGUCUGGUGCCAGCAGCCGCGGUAAUUCCAGCUCCAAUAGCGUAUAUUAAAGUUGUUGCAGUUAAAAAGCUCGUAGUUGAAUUUCGGGGUUCAUCCGUUGGUCGGGCUUUUUUGGUCUGUACUGGCGUGAUGGAUUCCUACCUUCUGAAUAACCAGCAUGUCAUUAAUUUGGUGCGCUGGGGAAGCAGGACUGUUACCUUGAAAAAAUUAGAGUGCUUAAAGCAGGCUAUCGCCUGAAUACAUUAGCAUGGAAUAAUGAAAUAGGGCGGCAUGGUUCUAUUUUGUUGGUUUCUAGGAUCACCGUAAUGAUUAAUAGGGAUAGUUGGGGGCAUUAGUAUUCAAUUGUCAGAGGUGAAAUUCUUGGAUUUAUUGAAGACUAGCUUCUGCGAAAGCAUUUGCCAAGGAUGUUUUCAUUAAUCAAGAACGAAAGUUAGGGGAUCGAAGACGAUCAGAUACCGUCGUAGUCUUAACCAUAAACUAUGCCGACUAGGGAUCGGACGAUGUUAAUUUUUUAAUGACUCGUUCGGCGCCUUACGGGAAAC
RNAcentral lists this ribosomal RNA (552 nucleotides) under uncultured Glomeromycotina. RNAcentral describes it as "SSU rRNA". It matches the Rfam family "Eukaryotic small subunit ribosomal RNA", at positions 548 to 1098 of the family's 1831-position model. Lineage: Eukaryota; Fungi; Glomeromycota. The record is from RNAcentral.